UCUNUCUUAAAAGUUCGGGGCUUAACCCCGUGAUGGGAUGGAAACUGCUGAUCUAGAGUAUNGGAGAGGAAAGUGGAAUUCCUAGUGUAGCGGUGAAAUGCGUAGAUAUUAGGAAGANCACCAGUGGCGAAGGCGACUUUCUGGACGAAAACUGACGCUGAGGCGCGAAAGCCAGGGGAGCGAACGGGAUUAGAUACCCCGGUAGUCCUGNCCGUAAACGAUGGGUACUAGGUGUAGGAGGUAUCGACCCCUUCUGUGCCGGAGUUAACGCAAUAAGUACCCCGCCUGGGGAGUACGACCGCAAGGUUGAAACUCAAAGGAAUUGACGGGGGCCCGCACAAGCGGUGGAGUAUGUGGUUUAAUUCGACGCAACGCGAAGAACCUUACCAGGUCUUGACAUUGAUGGACAGAACUAGAGAUAGUUCCUCUUCUUCGGAAGCCAGAAAACAGGUGGUGCACGGUUGUCGUCAGCUCGUGUCGUGAGAUGUUGGGUUAAGUCCCGCGACGAGCGCAACCCCUAUCUUAUGUUGCCAGCACUUUGGGUGGGAACUCAUGAGAGACUGCCGCAGACAAUGCGGAGGAAGGCGGGGAUGACGUCAAAUCAUCAUGCCCCUUAUGACCUGGGCUACACACGUACUACAAUGGGAGUUAAUAGACGGAAGCGAGAUCGCGAGAUGGAGCAAACCCGAGAAACACUCUCUCAGUUCGGAUCGUAGGCUGCAACUCGCCUACGUGAAGUCGGAAUCGCUAGUAAUCGCAGGUCAGCACGCCGCGGUGAAUACGUUCCCGGGCCUUGUACACACCGCCCGUCACACCACGAGAGUUUGUAACACCCGAAGUCGGUGAGGUANCCUUA
RNAcentral lists this ribosomal RNA (856 nucleotides) under uncultured bacterium. RNAcentral describes it as "bacterial SSU rRNA". It matches the Rfam family "Bacterial small subunit ribosomal RNA", at positions 588 to 1443 of the family's 1533-position model. The record is from RNAcentral.